Molecule: long non-coding RNA, 776 nt
Organism: Eutrema salsugineum
Lineage: Eukaryota; Viridiplantae; Streptophyta; Magnoliopsida; Brassicales; Brassicaceae
Exons: 3
Source: RefSeq, a predicted model, not a curated record
AGUUACAGUAGCGGUUCGUCAGAGGAAGAGGUGCCUUAUUGGGUUUACGCGGAUGCCACGUAUGGCAUCCCGGAGAAGUGCUUUUGUGGCCUGGUUGUGAAACUCAACCAAAAUGAAGCCGGACGGAAGUAUUAUUCCUGCCCUAAGUGGAUUGAUGAGGGCUCUUUUGACCACAUUCACUAAUGGUGGGAUCAUGCGGUCACAGAGCAGUGUGAAAUCCUCGCGACAAGGAUAGAGAACCAGCAUGCAAUGAUCGUGAGCGUUGAUCGGGGAAGGAUUCAAUCGGUAGAUCCAGCCAUAGGAGAGGUCUGUGAGGAGCAAGCAAGGCGUAAUGAAGAAGUUCUUGAACAGUUAACCAGGCUGGAAGGAGAAGUACGGUUUUUGAAGGACCGCAUUGGUGCUCAAGGUGAUACCUUAUCAAUGCUGUUAUUUUUUUGUGUGAUUGGACUGCUCGCAUAUAUCUGUAGGGUUUACGUUUCGGUUAGCAUUGAGUACUAAACUAUUUAACAUGGUCUCUUUUAAUCUUUUUUGCUGAGGAUCAUUUUGGACUCUACGUGGACAAGGGUUGGACUGCAUGGCAUACGGGCCUUCAUGGCAUAUGGUGCAAAGUGAAGGGUGUGUCAUAGCAAGUUGCUUUCCAAGAUGCGUCCGUGACCAUAUGCUCAACUUUGGAGGGGCCAGAUGCUUUUGUUGUUUUCCCUUGUAACCCCAAAUUUAGAAUCUUGUAAUAUGGACCAUAUAUUUGACCAACUAGCUUUGUAGCCACAGCUUCUAUC